This 1939-nucleotide long non-coding RNA is filed under the name Dromaius novaehollandiae (emu). RNAcentral's name for it is "lncRNA (ENSDNVG00000002696.1)". Lineage: Eukaryota; Metazoa; Chordata; Aves; Casuariiformes; Dromaiidae. The record is from RNAcentral.
AAGAAACUGAGACGUUCAUUUAUCAAAAUUUGGAGAAUUUACAAAAUCUGUCAAUGAGCGGAAAAAAAGGAGCACACUAUUCUCAGUUUUUUACUAAAUGUCCUUGGAUCUUCUGGGCUUUUGUUUUUUCAUGAAGUAUUUUUGCAGAAGACAAAGGGAGAGGAGAAAGGCAUUUUUCCCUACUGCCUUUAUUUCCCUAAUGUGUCAAAUUAAUAGCAAAUUUUCGUGUGCCUGUACUAUCAGAAGAAGCAAAUGUUAAGUGAGAGAACAUUUAUCUGACACUGCCCUCUUUACUAGGCUUUUUUUUUUUUUUUUUUUUUUUUUAGAAAUCAUGCUAUUCUGUAGACUGUUUUCAGUUAACCCAUGUCAUUCCUGAAAUACAGUUCUCCAAAGUGGACACAGCAGCAGGAUCACAGGAUCUGGAAAGGAUGCAGGCUAAUCUGGGCUGGAAGGGACCUCGGAGGUCUCCAGGCCAACCUGCUGCUCAAAGCACCUGAGACCAGAUUACGCAGGGCUGUGUCCAGUCAGGUCUUGAAAAACUCCAAGUACCCUAGGAUGAAGCUGAUGAGACCGGCCGUAUUUUCUAAAUCUGUAAUUAUUCUCAUGUCUGCGGAACUGUGGACCAAAGGAUUUAUCAGGAAUUUAAUGACACUGAAGGCCCACCAGUCUGCUCCCAGAACAUCUACCCAUAAGAGGACAGGCCAUGGUCAUUCAGCUGCACAGACACCUCCUAAGUGUCCACCUCAUUCCAGCAUCCCUGGAGAUGCCUCAAGUCAGCAUUGCUACAAGCACAUACCACCCUCUUAUGAAAAAGCAAAAAAACUCCACUCUGUUUCAUCUCCGUCUGGUCAUCUCAGGCAGAUUCUUCUCUGGUUCUACCAGUUCUCGCACACUCAAGAUUUUAGUGUCAUGACAUUGAAAUCAAUGUAAAUAUGUGUGUCUGGAGUGCUCUCUGCUCUGGGUCUCAUCGCUUCAGGUAAAUUCAGGUUUCAAAGCUUCUAGUCACCUUCCCCUAGGCCAGUACAAUCUGUCUGUAACAUUUUUGGUAAUUAAUGUCUGGUAACCAAAAAACCUCCAGUAUGUUAUGUAUAUAAAAGCAAAAGCAAAAGCAUCRCUAGAGCUAUUGUAAUUUGAGAAGGCUGGGUGAAAAGGAAGGGGAUGAAGAGCUGGACGAUUCUUGUUGCUUUAAGAAAGUAAUGCUGCUGCAGAUUUCUAGUUCAGAGAGUCCUACAGGAUUAAUUCAUGUCAAGAGAGCCCCUUCAAACCAUCAUUAAAAAUGAAGAAAUGUCUGACCUGUUCGUCAUUGGUAAGUGCAGUUUGCUUUCAUGCAUAUUUAUAUAUCUAUAUGUAUAAGUAUUCACCACCAACUUUGUUUUCUUGUUUCCUGUACAAAAGUUUGAUACGUGACAAGUCAGUGGUGUUUCAGGAACACYGCUGCUUCGGGUACAUGAAACAAAAAAGACAAUUAGAUGGCACAGUUGUAGCAUGACAUAUUAAAUUCCCUUUUAACUUACAGCUUUCAAUUUUACACUUGAAAAAAAUGCAAAUGUAUAUUCUCAUAUCAAAAGAUGCAAUGGGUAGUCAGAUUAUGACUACCAAUUAUAUUCCAGACGUGAGGUUUCUUGCAGCAGCAAAUGUUUCUUUUAUAGUCUAUAAAAUUUUACAAGAUUUAGUUUGGGCCAACUUGGAGUUCUCUAACUUUUUUUUUCAAAAACAUCCUUUUAGUCAACCACAAAAUACCUGGKUUUUUUUUAAUGACUUUGAAACUUUUAAACGCUUAUACUGAAACUUCUGCUACAAAAACUUAUCAAAAAGUAAUACAGAAAGCAAUAUACUGCUUUUCCAAGUUAGAAAACAUAAACUUACAGUGAAAGGGUYAUAAUCCAUUUCCCUCUAUAAUGUCACAAAUAAAAGAAAAAUGACAUUUUAGGCUACUCCA